This 1287-nucleotide long non-coding RNA is filed under the name Marmota monax (woodchuck). The record is from RNAcentral. Lineage: Eukaryota; Metazoa; Chordata; Mammalia; Rodentia; Sciuridae.
UCAUUCAUGGCUUUUAGCUGCCUUGCAGAUUUGUGUGGGGGAAGGAGUUCAAUGAUCACCACUUAGAAGGGCUUCCUUUUUUAUUCUGUGGGGAAAAAAAAAUCAGGGAAAAAAUAAAAAACCAGCAAGGACAAAGAUGAUAUUUGGUAGUUACAGUUCGUAGAUCGAAGACAGCAUCCUUUCCUGUCUCAAAAUUGUCAUAUCACUUCAAGGUGCUCAGACAUAUAAUUCCCAGAUAUAUCAAAUGCCAUCUUUUUUAUUUUCCCAACUUUAAUAUGAAGAUUUUGGACAUGUGAUAGGGCUGAAAAACUGGUUUCUUUGUAUGUGAUAAUUCAAUCAAUCAGUAACGGUUGCAUAGAAUAUUAUAUUAAGAAGAAUUCAAAAGGCACAGAAGUAAAGAAUGCUGUCCCCAAUUAGGGAUGUCUUCCCUGGGUGCAGGAAGAGGAGUGGCCACACAUCUGCUACAAAUUUGAAAACCCUGAAAUAGAUUAUGUAUGAGGUUCUUUCCAGUGCUAGUCUUUUAUGAUUCCUACAAAACCAGAGGGAAAGUAUCCAGCAUUGAAUUACUCCAUUCAAGGCUAGAUGUGCAUAUUGCCAGUAAUCCCUCAGAGUCUUAUGUAAAUGGUUGAGAGGGUAAAUGGGAGCUUCAAGGUGCUGGGAGGGAGCUGGGGCUGCCCCAACAGCCAGCCCAGAGGCUGGCAGCACCAGGCUUUUCUAACCCUCUGAUGGUGGAGAGCCAGCCCACUGAGAUCUUUCCUCUCCACUUCCUCAUUAUUCUCAUUAGUCUUCCUUACUCACACAGUGACACAUUCUCUAUUACAGCAGUGGUCUUUUACUUCUCAGACCAUGAAACAUCUAGAGUCUGGACAAAACCACAUGCUCUCUUCCAUGAGAAAUCUACUCACAAACACAUCUAUACAAUUUGGGGUCUUACCUGUUUUCAUAAAUAUUUGUUGAUCUCUUAAUCUCCAUCAGAUGCUCAUCUCCAUCAGAUGUUGGUGAUUUGGAGAUGUUACAAUGCCUUGGGACUGUAUCUGUGGACCCAAAGUUUAAUAGAGCCUCUUAAAGUUUUAUUUGGAGCAGAAGGCAAUUGUUCCUGUUGUGAUCAUUAUUACCAAACACAGUAACAACAAAUUUUUACUGGUAAGUCAAUAUAGUGGUAAGGCCCAGUGCUAAGAACUUUGCCUGAGUUAAUUCCCUUAAUUCUGAUAGCAAACUGUAUGAGGAAUUUUAAAAGAGACAGUAAUACAUUUUAAGCACUUUUUUAUAACAGUGUCCAAGAUAGAG